This 582-nucleotide small RNA is filed under the name Pan troglodytes (chimpanzee). RNAcentral's name for it is "retained intron". The record is from RNAcentral. Lineage: Eukaryota; Metazoa; Chordata; Mammalia; Primates; Hominidae.
GCUGUUGUUGCAGGGCGGCCCAGACAGGACGCCCUGUCUCCUUUCUCUCCUACAACCGCUUUUUAAAAGUCUGUUUCUGUUUUUGCUGGUUCCCCGGCGAGUCGGGCCCUGCCGUGGCCCCUGAGGAGGGGGCGGCGAUCGCGCGAUGCGGCUGCGACCACGACUGCGGCGCCCAGGGGAACCCGGUGUGCGGCUCCGACGGGGUGGUCUACGCCAGCGCCUGCCGCCUGCGGGAGGCCGCCUGCCGCCAGGCCGCGCCCCUGGAGCCCGCGCCUCCCAGCUGCUGCGCCCUCGAGCAGCGGCUGCCGGCCUCGGCGUCCUCCACCUACGGGGAUGACCUGGCUUCUGUGGCCCCGGGGCCUUUACAGCAGGACGUGAAGCUGAAUGGAGCCGGCCUUGAGGUGGUGGACUCAGACCCUGAGCCUGAAGGGGAGGCGGAGGACAGGUAACAGCUGGGCCCACCCCAGAGAUCAGAGACAUAGGCUCAAUAUCUCCCCACCUCCCUCCCCUACCAACCUCCCCCGACGACCUGCCCCGACCCCUCCGCCCGGCCCCGACCCCCCACUGGCAGUGGGAGUGACU